UGGGGAAUCUUGGACAAUGGGGGCAACCCUGAUCCAGCCAUGCCGCGUGAGUGAUGAAGGCCUUAGGGUCGUAAAGCUCUUUCGCCUGUGAAGAUAAUGACGGUAGCAGGUAAAGAAACCCCGGCUAACUCCGUGCCAGCAGCCGCGGUAAUACGGAGGGGGUUAGCGUUGUUCGGAAUUACUGGGCGUAAAGCGCACGUAGGCGGACCAGAAAGUUGGGGGUGAAAUCCCGGGGGCUCAACCCCGGAACUGCCUCCAAAACUAUUGGUCUAGAGUUCGAGAGAGGUGAGUGGAAUUCCAAGUGUAGAGGUGAAAUUCGUAGAUAUUUGGAGGAACACCAGUGGCGAAGGCGGCUCACUGGCUCGAUACUGACGCUGAGGUGCGAAAGUGUGGGGAGCAAACAGGAUUAGAUACCCUGGGUACGUCACACCGUAAAACGAUGAAUGCCAGUCGUCGGGUAGCAUGCUAUUCGGUGACACACCUAACGGAUUAAGCAUUCC
RNAcentral lists this ribosomal RNA (500 nucleotides) under uncultured bacterium. RNAcentral's name for it is "bacterial SSU rRNA". It matches the Rfam family "Bacterial small subunit ribosomal RNA", at positions 355 to 870 of the family's 1533-position model. The record is from RNAcentral.